Molecule: transfer RNA, 77 nt
Filed under: Serratia sp. CMO1
Lineage: Bacteria; Pseudomonadati; Pseudomonadota; Gammaproteobacteria; Enterobacterales; Yersiniaceae
Description: tRNA-Ala
Rfam family: tRNA
About the family: Transfer RNA (tRNA) molecules are approximately 80 nucleotides in length.
Source: RNAcentral
GGGGCUAUAGCUCAGCUGGGAGAGCGCCUCCUUGCACGCAGGAGGUCAGCGGUAUCGAAUCCCGCUUAGCUCCACCA